Molecule: transfer RNA, 70 nt
Filed under: Marmota marmota marmota (Alpine marmot)
Lineage: Eukaryota; Metazoa; Chordata; Mammalia; Rodentia; Sciuridae
Also listed under: 4 other names
Rfam family: tRNA
About the family: Transfer RNA (tRNA) molecules are approximately 80 nucleotides in length. Their secondary structure includes four short double-helical elements and three loops (D, anti-codon, and T loops).
Source: Rfam by way of RNAcentral
GGGGAUAUAGCUCAGUUGGUAGAGUGCUUGCCUUGCAUGCACAAGGCCCUGGAUUCAAUCCCCAGCCCCA